CCUACGGGGCGCAGCAGUGAGGAAUAUUGGUCAAUGGACGAGAGUCUGAACCAGCCAAGUAGCGUGAAGGAUGACUGCCCUAUGGGUUGUAAACUUCUUUUAUAUGGGAAUAAAACGUUCCACGUGUGGGAUUUUGUAUGUACCAUAUGAAUAAGGAUCGGCUAACUCCGUGCCAGCAGCCGCGGUAAUACGGAGGAUCCGAGCGUGAUCCGGAUUUAUUGGGUUUAAAGGGAGCGUAGGUGGAUUGUUAAGUCAGUUGUGAAAGUUUGCGGCUCAACCGUAAAAUUGCAGUUGAUACUGGCAGUCUUGAGUACAGUAGAGGUGGGCGGAAUUCGUGGUGUAGCGGUGAAAUGCUUAGAUAUCACGAAGAACUCCGAUUGCGAAGGCAGUUCACUGGACUGCAACUGACACUGAGGCUCGAAAGUGUGGGUAUCAAACAGGAUUAGAUACCCGGGUAGUC
This 460-nucleotide ribosomal RNA is filed under the name uncultured bacterium. RNAcentral describes it as "partial 16S ribosomal RNA". It matches the Rfam family "Bacterial small subunit ribosomal RNA", at positions 338 to 795 of the family's 1533-position model. The record is from RNAcentral.